AGUACGGCCGCAAGGUUAAAACUCAAAGGAAUUGACGGGGACCCGCACAAGCGGUGGAGCAUGUGGUUUAAUUCGAUGCAACGCGAAGAACCUUACCCGGUCUUGACAUCCUGCGAACUCUCUAGAAAUAGAUUGGUGCUUUCGGGAACCGUGAGACAGGUGCUGCAUGGCUGUCGUCAGCUCGUGUUGUGAAAUGUUGGGUUAAGUCCCGCAACGAGCGCAACCCUUAUCCUUUGUUGCCAGCGGUCCGGCCGGGAACUCAAAGGAGACUGCCUGUGAUAAACUGGAGGAAGGUGGGGAUGACGUCAAGUCAUCAUGGCCCUUACGACCAGGGCUACACACGUGCUACAAUGGCGCAUACAAAGAGAAGCGACCUCGCGAGAGCAAGCGGACCUCAUAAAGUGCGUCGUAGUUCGGAUUGGAGUCUGCAACUCGACUCCAUGAAGUCGGAAUCGCUAGUAAUCGUGGAUCAGAAUGCCACGGUGAAUACGUUCCCGGGCCUUGUACACACCGCCCGUCACACCAUGGGAGUGGGUUGCAAAAGAAGUAGGUAGCUUAACCUUCGGGAGGGCGCUUACCACUUUGUGAUUCAUGACUGGGGUGAAGUCGUAACAAGGUAACC
Molecule: ribosomal RNA, 622 nt
Filed under: uncultured marine bacterium
Lineage: Bacteria
Description: bacterial SSU rRNA
Rfam family: Bacterial small subunit ribosomal RNA
Source: RNAcentral